AGAGAUUAAUUGGAAAAGUAAAUACUUGUAGAAAACUAAUUGGCAUUCCCUUGACAAAAUGUAAUGGAUUCAAGCAUUGGUCAGUGUUAGCUCUUAUCCUGGUAUGAAGAAUUAAUGUGAUUGCAAUGACCACACUGCUGCUGAGUCUGAAGUCUGCAGGCCAAGAGGGUUACAAUUUGGUUCCUCCUCACCCAUGUCUCAGGAGACCAUUUAGUAAAAAGUUGAAGAAUAUGACAUUCCCAUGUUCUUCCAAAACAAAAAAGGCUUGAGUGACUGGUACAAAGUGUGGCUUUUCCCGCCCUCCUCUUUCUUAGGGCUUUCCCCAUGUCUGGUUCCUGCAGUUACAGUGAGAUAUGAAAAAGGCAUCUGCAGGGAUCUGGGUCAGGCCUAUAUCAGGAAAGGCCCCCAGAGCAUCAGGUUGGACAGAGACUCCAGAAAACUGAAUGACCCCAGCCUGAUCAGCCCAUCACUACCCACACUCUGGCAGCUUCACCCCACUACUCCCCAAGGCCUUGUAUGCAUCAGGGCCUCCUGACAUGUGCUUCUGAACUCGCAACAAAAGCUGUUCAGGGCUGGGAGCGGUGGCUCACACAUGUAAUCCCAUCACUGCAGGAGGCCGAGGCCGGUGGAUAGCUUCAGGUCAGGAGUUCGAAACCAGCCUGGCCAACAUGGCAAACUGCCGUCUCUACUAAAAAUACAAAAAUUAGCCAGGCAUGGUGGCAAGUGCCUAUAAUCCCAGCUAUUCAGGAGGUUGAGGCAGGAGAAUCGCUUGAACCUGACCUGGGAGGCAGAGGUUGCAGUAAGCCAAGAUCACUCCACCGCAUUCUAGCCUGGGUGACAAAGCAAGACUCCAUCCAAAAAAAGAAAAAGAAAAAAAAAAUCAGGGUUGUUGACUUGGGACUCUAUAUAUUUUUUUUACUAAUACAUAAUAUUUGUACAUGUGAGAUUUUGAUUCAUGCAUACAAUGUAUAAUAAUCAAAUCAGGGUACUUAGGAUAUCCAUCACUUUGAACAUUUGUCAUUUCUUUGUAUUGAGAACAUGUCAAAUCUUCUCUACAUUUUAAUAAGUUCCUCAAUGAUUCUUAAGGAGCAAAAAUAGUUUGAGAGACACGGUGCUAAGGAUUAGGAGUGGUUAGAGACAAGACAGAAGUGACCUCAAAUGGGAAGAUUCCCUUACAAAUGAAUGCAAUGUAUUCCAAUUAUUAGGGCUGAUUAUGUUCCACCAAGUCACUAUGGACAAUGAAUUAGCAAACACUGAGCCAUGGCUCCUAGGUAAAAUACAGGGUUAGGUUACUGCAAGCCUCUGCUCAUAACAUUUUAAUCAACGAAUAAAAACAUAACCUU
This 1343-nucleotide long non-coding RNA is filed under the name Homo sapiens (human). RNAcentral's name for it is "HSALNT0180857". Lineage: Eukaryota; Metazoa; Chordata; Mammalia; Primates; Hominidae. The record is from RNAcentral.